GCAGUUGUGCGUGUAUAUAUUAUAAAUUAUUCAAUUCAACAGUCUCCUCCAUUGAUACGAGUGUUACUUUGUUGUAUCAACAUGAAGAAGAAGACGGCUCUUCUUUGGCUGUUCCUAUUCUUCUCAGCCUUCUUGUUUCCUCUCUCAGCAUCAUCAUCAAGUAAGCCCCAACAUUUCAUAAUCUUCAUAUGAUAUAUAUUCAUUCUUAUCUCUCUCUCUCUCUCUUAAAAUUAUUGCAGGAAGCCUCAGUUCAAUCACGGAUCAUUUUCAGGUUCUUCUUCCUUUCCAUUCAUAUUCUUUUCCCCUUUCUUAGUAAUAUCAUUAUUGGAUUUUCUGUUCAGUUUGGUAAUUUAAAUGUGGAGUAGAUUGCACUGGAGACAGGAGAGGAGAAAGAAUUAUACAGAGAAAGAAGAAUGGAUAUUGAAACCAGUGACUAUCCAGGGACUGGUGCCAAUAAUCACCAUGAUCCAAGACCCCCUGGAAGCUUUUGAAUCUAAGAAAAUGCUACUUAUUAUGUAUUUGUACAAAUUAAAAUGAGGAAAAUUAAAAGAAUAAUUCCUCUAAUUCUUGAGUUUCAUUAAUUAUUUUGCCCUCAAAUAUUGAUCUUUUGUACUGUAUCCAUACUUUUUUUUUUUUUUUUUUUUUUUUUUCGGAUCAUUUUCAG
This 664-nucleotide long non-coding RNA is filed under the name Olea europaea (common olive). RNAcentral's name for it is "long non-coding RNA (OEUR_LNC000646)". Lineage: Eukaryota; Viridiplantae; Streptophyta; Magnoliopsida; Lamiales; Oleaceae. The record is from RNAcentral.